UAGGUGAUUUCCAGGAGCAAAAAAAAGGUGAUAGUCAAGGUGCUUGUGAACUGGUGUUAAAAGACAAAUUCUUCAUUGUCAAUCCAGCUACCAUCCUUGUUCAGUUAAACUCUGCAACAGAUCUCCCACAAAGUUGUGUCCUGCUGUUGCUGCUUCUGAAGGAUCAUGGAAUCACAGAAUGGUUUGAGUUGGAAGUGACUUUAAAGCUCAUCUCAUUCCACCCUUGCCAUGAGGAGGGACACCUUCACUAGACCAGGUUGCUUCGUCCUGGCCUUGAAUACUUCUAGGGAUGGAGCACUUCCACGAUGGCUGUUUGACUUCCUUUCCCUGCAAUGGCAAAUGCCUUUGCUGGGGUUCCUCUGCUGAAAUCACACCCUGACCAAAUGUAACACCAACAAAAAUCUGGACUUGUGCCAGACUGCCAUCAUCAGAGCUCAGCCAGCAAACAGUGCUCAGCAAAAGGCAACUAGACAUUGUGUUUGGAGGCCUCAUUUGUGGAGCUGCUGAUGAGGCAUCAGUGACUUUGAUAAUGUCAAGGACUAGAAAGCAAAUGCUUCCACGAUAAAUCUUGUCUACUUUGAAAGGAAGGAGUUUCCCACAUCCCAUAUGCAACAUUUCCCUGAUCUGUCCCUUUCCAAAUUGCAAGCUGCACAACUGUGAGCUGGCAUCAAGACUCUGAGGUAAGCACAAACUGCCUGAAUCCGAGCCCUCCCUGUGGGGCCGCAACCCCAGAGCCCCUGGACAUGGAGCAUAGCUGCAACACCAUGGCUGUGGAUUUCCCUGAAAGGAUGAAGCAGCACGGUGGAAGUCCCGGGGCACUGUCUGAGGAAUUGCCCUCCCUGUGCCGUGCUCUCACCUGGGGACAGCAAGAAUUGUACAGCCCUGUCCCAGAGCUCUAUGCCCAGCCUGCCUGAGCAGUGAGCAAAAUGGGAUCAGUUUAAUUAUAAUUUGAUAUUCCAGCCUUAAACUUUCUGUAAACCAGUGGCUGCUGGACAGGUGAGCUGGACUCCUGUGCCUAAUGUAGAUUGAUAGCAGAUCAGCUUUUCUGUCUCAAUUUGCUUAUGACCUAGAGAAUUAGCAGAGAGGAUCUGUUAUCCUGCCAAUGCACUAAUGGCUUUGGCAAGAGAAGAGCU
This is a non-coding RNA of Cyanistes caeruleus (blue tit), 1133 nucleotides long. NCBI's taxonomy places the organism in Eukaryota, Metazoa, Chordata, Aves, Passeriformes, Paridae. The record is from RefSeq and is a predicted model, not a curated record.